Molecule: non-coding RNA, 335 nt
Organism: Theobroma cacao (cacao)
Lineage: Eukaryota; Viridiplantae; Streptophyta; Magnoliopsida; Malvales; Malvaceae
Source: RefSeq, a predicted model, not a curated record
CUCUCCCAUCUCAUUUCUUUUGGUCGGCCAAGGCAAGAACAAAAGGGAAAAAGCAUAGAACAAACCCUAGAGAAGAAAAUCAAGAGAAAAUUCAUUGGAUUUCAAGGAAUUAAGCAAGUAAAGGUGAUGAAACUUCCGAUAAAGGUAAGGAGAUUGUACCCGAAGAUCGGGACUAGGAGUAUUUCGACUCCCGAUAUUGCUCAGGGCAGUCUGUAGACCACUGAUUAUAUCGAGGGUUUGCUUUUGGGUUUGCACCCUUAGAAAUCGCAGGUCUAUAGUCUUGUACAUAUAUGUUUAUUUUGGGGGCCUAUAUGUCAUUGUAGAAUAUUUUGUAU